Molecule: non-coding RNA, 86 nt
Submitted as: unclassified sequences
Source: Rfam
GCCAGGAGAUGACCAUGUGACGAAGUCACAUAUUAAAAUGGCAUCGACGACAUCACACAUUGCAGAGCAAUGUGUGAGUACCAAUA